RNAcentral lists this ribosomal RNA (551 nucleotides) under uncultured Verrucomicrobiota bacterium. Its description in RNAcentral is "bacterial SSU rRNA". It matches the Rfam family "Bacterial small subunit ribosomal RNA", at positions 97 to 627 of the family's 1533-position model. The record is from RNAcentral. Lineage: Bacteria; Pseudomonadati; Verrucomicrobiota.
GGCGUAAGGGUGCUUAACACGUGGGUAAUCUGCCGUAAAGCCCGGAAUAACUUGCUGAAAGGCGAGCUAAUACCGGAUGUGAUUUCGGAGGGGCCUCUCUCUGAAAUUAAAGCUGGGGACCGCAAGGCCUGGCACUUUACGAUGAGCCCGCGGCCUAUCAGCUAGUUGGCGAGGUAACGGCUCACCAAGGCUUAGACGGGUAGCUGGUCUGAGAGGACGACCAGCCACACUGGAACUGAGACACGGUCUAGACACCUACGGGUGGCAGCAGUCGAGAAUUUUUCACAAUGGGGGAAACCCUGAUGGAGCGACGCCGCGUGGGGGAUGAAUGGCUUCGGCCCGUAAACCCCUGUCAUUUGCGAUCAAGAUUGUCGAACUAACACUUCGGCAGUUUGAUGGUAGCGGAAGAGGAAGGGACGGCUAACUCUGUGCCAGCAGCCGCGGUAAUACAGAGGUCCCAAGCGUUGUUCGGAUUCACUGGGCGUAAAGGGUGCGUAGGCGGUCGGGUAAGUCUGAUGUGAAAUCCCGCAGCUCAACUGCGGAACUGCAUC